Molecule: ribosomal RNA, 335 nt
Filed under: Ditylum brightwellii
Lineage: Eukaryota; Bacillariophyta; Thalassiosirophyceae; Lithodesmiales; Lithodesmiaceae
Description: partial Bacterial small subunit ribosomal RNA
Rfam family: Bacterial small subunit ribosomal RNA
Source: RNAcentral
CUGAAGAGUUUGAUCCUGGCUCAGAUUGAACGCUGGCGGCAUGCCUUACACAUGCAAGUCGAACGGUAACAGGGAGCUUGCUCCGCUGACGAGUGGCGAACGGGUGAGUAAUACAUCGGAACGUGCCCAGUAAUGGGGGAUAGCUCGGCGAAAGCCGGAUUAAUACCGCAUACGCCCUGAGGGGGAAAGUGGGGGACCGCAAGGCCUCACGUUAUUGGAGCGGCCGAUGGCUGAUUAGCUAGUUGGUAGGGUAAAGGCCUACCAAGGCGACGAUCAGUAGCUGGUCUGAGAGGACGAUCAGCCACACUGGGACUGAGACACGGCCCAGACUCCUA